CCUACGGGUGGCUGCAGUGGGGAAUAUUGCACAAUGGGGGAAACCCUGAUGCAGCGACGCCGCGUGAGUGAAGAAGUAAUUCGUUACGUAAAGCUCUAUCAGCAGGGAAGAAAAUGACGGUACUUGCGUACGAAGCCCCGGCUAACUACGUGCCAGCAGCCGCGGUAAUACGUAGGGGGCAAGCGUUAUCCGGAUUUACUGGGUGUAAGGGGAGCGUAGACGGUGCGCCAAGUCUGGAGUGAAAUGCCGCGGCUUAACUGCGGAACUGCUUUGGAAACUGGCGAACUUGAGUGCGGGAGGGGUAAGCGGAAUUCCUAGUGUAGCGGUGAAAUGCGUAGAUAUUAGGAGGAACACCAGUGGCGAAGGCGGAUUACUGGACCGUAACUGACGUUGAGGCUCGAAAGCGUGGGGAGCAAACAGGAUUAGAUACCCGGGUAGUC
Molecule: ribosomal RNA, 440 nt
Filed under: uncultured bacterium
Lineage: Bacteria
Description: partial 16S ribosomal RNA
Rfam family: Bacterial small subunit ribosomal RNA
Source: RNAcentral